GUGGGGUAAAGGCCUACCAAGGCGAUGACGGGUAGCGGGUCUGAGAGGAUGAUCCGUCACACUGGGACUGAGACACUGCCCAGACUCCUACGGGAGGCUGCAGUCGAGAAUCUUCCACAAUGGGCGAAAGCCUGAUGGAGCGACGCUGCGUGCAGGAUGAAGGCCUUAGGGUUGUAAACUGCUGUCACGCUAUAGGAAACCGCAGGGGUUAAUAGCUCUUGCGCUGACCAAAGCGAGAGGAAGUGCCGGCUAACUCCGUGCCAGCAGCCGCGGUAAGACGGAGGGCGCAAGCGUUGUUCGGAAUCACUGGGCAUAAAGAGCACGUAGGCUGUCAGUUAAGUCGGAUGUGAAAGCCCUCGGCCCAACCGGGGAACUGCAUUCGAUACUGCCUGACUCGAGGACAGGAGGGGGUGAGCGGAACUCCAGGUGGAACGGUGAAAUGUGUAGAUAUCUGGAGGAACACCGGUGGCGAAAGCGGCUCACUGGCCUGUCUCUGACGCUGAGGUGCGAAAGCUAGGGGAGCGAACGGGAUUAGAUACCCCGGUAGUCCUAGCCGUAAACGAUGGGCACUAGGCAGCGGACCUUCCUAUGGGGUUCUCUGCCGUAGCUAAUGUGUUAAGUG
Molecule: ribosomal RNA, 622 nt
Filed under: uncultured Actinobacteridae bacterium
Lineage: Bacteria; Bacillati; Actinomycetota; Actinomycetes
Description: bacterial SSU rRNA
Rfam family: Bacterial small subunit ribosomal RNA
Source: RNAcentral